This 253-nucleotide ribosomal RNA is filed under the name uncultured bacterium. RNAcentral's name for it is "partial 16S ribosomal RNA". It matches the Rfam family "Bacterial small subunit ribosomal RNA", at positions 524 to 776 of the family's 1533-position model. The record is from RNAcentral.
UACGGAGGGAGCUAGCGUUAUUCGGAAUUACUGGGCGUAAAGUGCACGUAGGCGGCUUUGUAAGUAAGAGGUGAAAGCCCAGAGCUCAACUCUGGAAUUGCCUUUUAGACUGCAUCGCUUGAAUCAUGGAGAGGUCAGUGGAAUUCCGAGUGUAGAGGUGAAAUUCGUAGAUAUUCGGAAGAACACCAGUGGCGAAGGCGGCUGACUGGACAUGUAUUGACGCUGAGGUGCGAAAGCGUGGGGAGCAAACAGG